Molecule: long non-coding RNA, 1467 nt
Filed under: Nicotiana tabacum (common tobacco)
Lineage: Eukaryota; Viridiplantae; Streptophyta; Magnoliopsida; Solanales; Solanaceae
Description: long non-coding RNA (NTAB_LNC003702)
Source: RNAcentral
AAGAAAGAAUUGGAGAAAAGAUUUGCUUGUGAAAGCCCAAUACCCAUUUCCCUUCCCUUGAAUCCCUAAAACCUAGACACAAAAGAAAAAAGAUCAGAUCUCUCUUUCUCUUUGAAGACACCAACGGCGCUCCUCUCCUCAGAACGGACAACCUCCCUCCAUGAAAUCUCAUCUCUCACCCUCACUCACACAAAAACGUUAAGACUCAAGUUGUUGUUGCUGGUUUGCUGCUGAUUUAUUCAAGUUGUUGCUGAGCUCCAUCUGAAUUUGGCCUUCUCUUAGUGUUUUUCUUGCUUUGAAUAGGUAAGUUCAAACACUCUUGUAUUUCCGUUUGUCUUGAGUGAACGAGUUUCUGAUUUUCACGUAAUUUGGCUUGAAUUCUCAUGUUAGUUUAGCCACAUGGUAGCAUCAGAUUAAAAUGACCCAUUUCUUUAUUUUUACCCAACCCGUUUUACAAAAAAAUCAUAACCCGAACCAUAUUUUCAUUUUUCAGUUUUUUAAAGAAUUUUCUUUUUGUAAAACAUAAAAACAAAAAUUGCAAAAUAUGUUUUCUUAAACUAAGUAGAUACUGAAAAGAUUUUGCAAAACAAAUUGUAAAAACUGAAAAAAAUAUAUGAAAAUAUAAUUAAUGAUACCUAUUUGUGAGGGGUAAAUAGGUGGGUAAAUAAAUUUAUAAUGUAAGAUAGACGGGAAAAAGUAACUUUUUUUUUCUUUCUUUCUUCUCACUGAUUUGGAAUAGGUUUUCUUUUUCCUCACUCAGUUCCGAAUAGCUUAAAUUAUUGCCAAUUUGCCGCCCUCUGCCGGCUGCCGCUACGGUCCUGUCCGUCAAUUUCUACAACGAUAGCUUCUGCACAGGUCCAAAAUGUCUAAGCCUGAAAAUAAUGUUCGCCAGGAUGUUUGUGGCAGCACUAGUCGCCAAAAUACCGAAGCCUAUGUUCAGGUUAUUAUCUUGUGCACUGUUUUCAUUAUCUCUUCAGCUAGCUUACUCCCACAAACUUGUUUGCUGGGACUUCGGGGGGGGGGGGGGGGUGGACAGUAAACUAAAAGUUUCAAUUUUUACGUAGAACUUGUCAGUCAUAAUCUCCAGCAACCUUUUUCCCCUUUCAAGUUUUAACCUUUUGUCAUCCUAGUGAGAAAUGUUGAUGCAUAGGACCCAUAACCAAGAGCUGGUAAACUUGAAUUGUACUUUCACUUUGGAUUGCUCAUCAGGAUGUUAUCUUUGGAAGAAAUCUCAAAACAUAAAAUCUCUGGAAGAAAUCUCAAAACAUAAAAUCUCUGGAAGAAAUCUCAAAACAUAAAAUCUCAAAUUUCACUAACCUGUAUAUCUUUAAUUAAAAAAAAAUAUUGACCUAAUAUCCUAACAUGUAGUCCUCGUUUAAUAGGUAUAGGACUCUUUUUGUGUAUCAAGCCUGGGGCUAAAUGCCCUCAAAUGGACUUUGUAUAGUUUCUAUUGGUCAUUCAUUAUUA